RNAcentral lists this ribosomal RNA (1515 nucleotides) under Streptomyces sp. KE1. Its description in RNAcentral is "bacterial LSU rRNA". It matches the Rfam family "Bacterial large subunit ribosomal RNA", at positions 1443 to 2925 of the family's 2925-position model. The record is from RNAcentral. Lineage: Bacteria; Bacillati; Actinomycetota; Actinomycetes; Kitasatosporales; Streptomycetaceae.
CCCGAGCUGGUAGUAGGUGAGUGAUGGGGUGACGCAGGAAGGUAGUCCAUCCCGGGCGGUGGUUGUCCCGGGGUAAGGGUGUAGGACGUCAGGUAGGUAAAUCCGCCUGGCACAUAGUCUGAGACCUGAUGCCGAGCCGAUUGUGGUGAAGUGGAUGAUCCUAUGCUGUCGAGAAAAGCCUCUAGCGAGUUUCAUGGCGGCCCGUACCCUAAACCGACUCAGGUGGUCAGGUAGAGAAUACCGAGGCGUUCGGGUGAACUAUGGUUAAGGAACUCGGCAAAAUGCCCCCGUAACUUCGGGAGAAGGGGGGCCAUGUCUGGUGAUGAGUCUUGCACUCUGAGCUGGGUGUGGCCGCAGAGACCAGCGAGAAGCGACUGUUUACUAAAAACACAGGUCCGUGCGAAGCCGUAAGGCGAUGUAUACGGACUGACGCCUGCCCGGUGCUGGAACGUUAAGGGGACCGGUUAGUCACAUUUCGGUGUGGCGAAGCUGAGAACUUAAGCGCCAGUAAACGGCGGUGGUAACUAUAACCAUCCUAAGGUAGCGAAAUUCCUUGUCGGGUAAGUUCCGACCUGCACGAAUGGCGUAACGACUUCUCGACUGUCUCAACCAUAGGCCCGGUGAAAUUGCAUUACGAGUAAAGAUGCUCGUUUCGCGCAGCAGGACGGAAAGACCCCGGGACCUUUACUACAGUUUGAUAUUGGUGUUCGGUUCGGCUUGUGUAGGAUAGGUGGGAGACUGUGAAGCAUGCACGCCAGUGUGUGUGGAGUCGUCGUUGAAAUACCACUCUGGUCGUGCUGGAUGUCUAACCUGGGUCCGUGAUCCGGAUCAGGGACAGUGUCUGAUGGGUAGUUUAACUGGGGCGGUUGCCUCCUAAAGAGUAACGGAGGCGCCCAAAGGUUCCCUCAGCCUGGUUGGUAAUCAGGUGUUGAGUGUAAGUGCACAAGGGAGCUUGACUGUGAGACCGACGGGUCGAGCAGGGACGAAAGUCGGGACUAGUGAUCCGGCGGUGGCUUGUGGAAGCGCCGUCGCUCAACGGAUAAAAGGUACCCCGGGGAUAACAGGCUGAUCUUCCCCAAGAGUCCAUAUCGACGGGAUGGUUUGGCACCUCGAUGUCGGCUCGUCGCAUCCUGGGGCUGGAGUCGGUCCCAAGGGUUGGGCUGUUCGCCCAUUAAAGCGGUACGCGAGCUGGGUUUAGAACGUCGUGAGACAGUUCGGUCCCUAUCCGCUGUGCGCGUAGGAAUAUUGAGAAGGGCUGUCCCUAGUACGAGAGGACCGGGACGGACGAACCUCUGGUGUGCCAGUUGUUCUGCCAAGGGCAUGGCUGGUUGGCUACGUUCGGGAGGGAUAACCGCUGAAAGCAUCUAAGCGGGAAGCCUGCUUCGAGAUGAGUAUUCCCACCUCCUUGAGAGGGUAAGGCUCCCAGUAGACGACUGGGUUGAUAGGCCGGAUAUGGAAGCCCUGUAAGGGGUGGAGUUGACCGGUACUAAUAGGCCGAGGGCUUGUCCUCAGUUG